This 197-nucleotide unclassified non-coding RNA is filed under the name soil metagenome. RNAcentral describes it as "partial contains 5.8S ribosomal RNA, internal transcribed spacer 2, and large subunit ribosomal RNA". The record is from RNAcentral.
AACUGAUACUACCUGCGGGAACCUGCGGAAGGAUCAUUACCGAGUUUUCGAGCUUCGGCUCGACUCUCCCACCCUUUGUGAACGUACCUCUGUUGCUUUGGCGGCUCCGGCCGCCAAAGGACCUUCAAACUCCAGUCAGUAAACGCAGACGUCUGAUAAACAAGUUAAUAAACUAAAACUUUUAACAACGGAUCUCU